CUGGCGGCGUGCCUAACACAUGCAAGUCGCACGAGAAAGUGGAGCAAUCCAUGAGUAAAGUGGCGCACGGGUGAGUAACACGUGAAUGAUCUACCUCCGAGUGGGGAAUAACCUAGAGAAAUCUGGGCUAAUACCGCAUAACACUUACGAGUCAAAGCAGCAAUGCGCUUGGAGAGGAGUUCGCGGCCGAUUAGUUAGUUGGCGGGGUAAUGGCCCACCAAGACGAUGAUCGGUAUCCGGCCUGAGAGGGCGCACGGACACACUGGAACUGAAACACGGUCCAGACUCCUACGGGAGGCAGCAGUGGGGAAUUUUGCGCAAUGGGGGAAACCCUGACGCAGCAACGCCGCGUGGAGGAUGAAAUCCCUUGGGAUGUAAACUCCUUUCGAUCGGGACGAUUAUGACGGUACCGGAAGAAGAAGCCCCGGCUAACUUCGUGCCAGCAGCCGCGGUAAUACGAGGGGGGCAAGCGUUGUUCGGAAUUAUUGGGCGUAAAGGGCGCGUANGCGGUUUGACAAGUCUGAUGUGAAAUCUCUGGGCUCAACUCA
This 548-nucleotide ribosomal RNA is filed under the name uncultured bacterium. Its description in RNAcentral is "bacterial SSU rRNA". It matches the Rfam family "Bacterial small subunit ribosomal RNA", at positions 36 to 616 of the family's 1533-position model. The record is from RNAcentral.